CCUACGAGUGGCAGCAGUGCGGAAUAUUGGUCAAUGGGCGGGAGCCUGAACCAGCCAAGUCGCGUGAGGGACGACGGUCCUAUGGAUUGUAAACCUCUUUUGUCGGGGAACAAAAGCGCCCACGGGUGGGCUGCUGAGUGUACCCGCAGAAACAGCAUCGGCUAACUCCGUGCCAGCAGCCGCGGUAAUACGGAGGAUGCGAGCGUUAGCCGGAUUUAUUGGGUUUAAAGGGUGCGUAGGAGGACAGUCAAGUCAGCGGUAAAAAUGCGGUGCUCAACGCCGUACAGCCGUUGAAUCUGGCAGUGUUGAGUGGGCGAGAAGUAUGCGGAAUGCGUGGUGUAGCGGUGAAAUGCAUAGAUAUCACGCAGAACUCCGAUUGCGAAGGCAGCAUACCGGCGCCCAACUGACGCUGAGGCACGAAAGCGUGGGUAUCGAACAGGAUUAGAUACCCGGGUAGUC
Molecule: ribosomal RNA, 459 nt
Filed under: uncultured bacterium
Lineage: Bacteria
Description: partial 16S ribosomal RNA
Rfam family: Bacterial small subunit ribosomal RNA
Source: RNAcentral